GACGGUUUGGCCGAGUGGUCUAAGGCACCAGAUUUAGGCUCUGGUCUGAAAGGGUGUGGGUUCAAAUCCCACAGCCGUCU
Transfer RNA from Ipomoea nil (Japanese morning glory), 80 nucleotides. It matches the Rfam family "tRNA". From Rfam's summary of the family: Transfer RNA (tRNA) molecules are approximately 80 nucleotides in length. Their secondary structure includes four short double-helical elements and three loops (D, anti-codon, and T loops). NCBI's taxonomy places the organism in Eukaryota, Viridiplantae, Streptophyta, Magnoliopsida, Solanales, Convolvulaceae. The record is from Rfam.